Molecule: RNA transcript, 1379 nt
Organism: Rhopilema esculentum
Lineage: Eukaryota; Metazoa; Cnidaria; Scyphozoa; Rhizostomeae; Rhizostomatidae
Gene name: Fanconi anemia core complex-associated protein 24-like
Source: RefSeq, a predicted model, not a curated record
GAAGGCAGAUUUUCCGCGCGACGGUUAACCAGAUGUAAUCAGGUCGAAUUAUGAAUAUAUCAGCACUUUCUCAGCCGUCUCUGAAGGGAUCCAGAGUGCCAACAGGACACGUGCUAGUUCAUUUAAAAUUCCAAGGAGGCCCAAUCAUAAAGCUUUUGCAAGAAACUGGUAUCACCCCAGUAAUUCAAGAGGGGCUCGGUGUGGUUGACUUCUACCCAUCAAAUUCAAUUUCUGUUGUUUGGAUAACAGAGGAGGUGAUCAUUGGCUCUAGCAGCUCUGUGCUAAAGAAGAUAAAGAAACUUGAUGAGGGAAGAUGCAGUGGCAUUGCAUUGGUGGAAGUCACAGAGCUGAGCAAACAGUACUACAAAGAACUGCAGCUUUCGACAAUGGUUGAUUUCAAUGUGCCACUGAUCCCUGUUAGAUCAGUGAAUGAAAUGGCAAAAGUUGUUGCCCAGUUAGUUUACAGCAAGUCUCAACCAAAUCCAAUAAUUAAAUGCUCAAGAAGUGGUAUAAAUAUGGAUGAAUCGGUUCUAGCCACACUUAAAUCUUUUCCAAUGGUAGGAGGAAGGAAGGCUGUCAGCUUGAUCAAUAAAUUUUCAACACACUGGCCAGCCUAAACUAGAAGAAGAAAAUUUCCCUUGGUAACAUUUGUCUGCUGCUAGUUAAUCCCCCACUCCAAGGUAUUGACCAGAUCAACAAAGCAUCAAUUCAGGAACUUGAAGCCCUUGUUGGUCGACCAACAGCACUGCAUGUAAAAGGGUUCUUAGAAGGAAAGAAGGCAAGGUGAAGUUUAUGCAUCAUAUGUUCUGUCAAUUUUCAAACCAACCUUCGUUGAGCCAUUAACAUAAGCUGCAAACAUUCUGUCAAAUCUCUUUGUUCUCAAUUCCCCUCAUAAAAGUCCAAAAGCAACAUCAACUUUCCUUUUAGUUAAGAAACUUAUCAUUCUGAGCUUCUGAACUUGGAAACAAAUUGCGAUUCUUUGCAGUAGUAAAGGACAAUUCAUCCCAUUGAUUAAUUUAUUGAUUGGCUAAAGUAUUCCUUCCUUGUCUUAUUUUCUAAUGACAUUGAAUUUUAUUAUAUGACAAAUUCAAAAGAUCAAUUUGUAAUGCUGACUCAACAUCAUGAAUCUGUAUUUAAUGAAUUUGGUUUAAUUGUUGCUCAAUAGAUUGUAUUUUGCUUUCCUUUGCCCUCUCAAGACUGUGCAUUUUGUACCAGUGGCACUUACUGCUUUGUUUGAGAAUACGCAUUUUGUACAAUUGUCAUUUUCUGCUAUGUUUGAGAAUGCAGAUUGUGUACCUUUGUCACGAUCGGCUAAGUUUGAGAAUAUGUAUUUUGUACCAUUGUCACUUUCUGCUAUGUUUGAGAAUGCACAUUUAGUA